Molecule: ribosomal RNA, 228 nt
Filed under: Sinapis alba (white mustard)
Lineage: Eukaryota; Viridiplantae; Streptophyta; Magnoliopsida; Brassicales; Brassicaceae
Description: partial 18S ribosomal RNA
Rfam family: Eukaryotic small subunit ribosomal RNA
Source: RNAcentral
GAAUUCCUAGUAAGCGCGAGUCAUCAGCUCGCGUUGACUACGUCCCUGCCCUUUGUACACACCGCCCGUCGCUCCUACCGAUUGAAUGAUCCGGUGAAGUACUCGGAUCGCGGCGACGUGGGUGGUUCGCCGUCCGCGACGUCGCGAGAAGUUUUCUAAACCUUAUCAUUUAGAGGAAGGAGAAGUCGUAACAAGGUUUCCGUAGGUGAACCUGCGGAAGGAUCAUUG